This 1463-nucleotide long non-coding RNA is filed under the name Salmo salar (Atlantic salmon). RNAcentral's name for it is "lncRNA (ENSSSAG00000104302.1)". The stretch from base 1369 to 1422 matches the Rfam family "UnaL2 LINE 3' element". The record is from RNAcentral. Lineage: Eukaryota; Metazoa; Chordata; Actinopteri; Salmoniformes; Salmonidae.
UUAACUUUAGGUUUUCACCACAAGUGUUUCGUGUUUAAUAUUUAAAACUUGAAAAUAUGAUAGACUUUUUUUUUACAUAAAUAAUUUGUAAAACAAUUGUUAUUUCUUUACUUUAAUAGACUGGAAUUGUUGAAGGAAAUCCACUUUUGUCACUGAAGUGUGCCUGUCGGCGAAGUAGCCGAAUCCUCUAUCCAACCCGCUGAAAUGCAAAAGCAAAUAUUAUUAUAGCGUUUUAAACAUCCUUUUAUACACCCCAAACAUAUGGCAGCUUCAACACAACAUCUGUUUACUGCCAUUGGAAUUAGCAUCAGAAUAUCUACCGCUAGAACAAGUGCUUUUCUGCAUGAGCAGACAAGACAAAAGUCUAAUGCGGAGAGAUCAGCACGAGCACACGACGUUCUGAAAGGACGUGGCACGACGCGGGCAGAUGUCCUGAAUCUCCUGCGGUUCCAGGGUGAAUGAACUGAAAGACGACAACCACGUGGUGGUAGAACACGUCUGUUUCCAGACCAACAGGAGGCUGCCAUUGUGCUUAUGGUAGAUGAAAAUAAUGCCAUAAGACUGUGGGAAAUUUAAAAAUUCAAUUUAUCGAAGACGAGGAAGAGGGGAAGGAACAUCAUUGGUCAACGGGCCAUCACUGAGGUACCUGGCCAGCGCAGGUACCACCCUUGGACCAUACAACACUACCCAUCUCCUUAAUUUCCUGAACACCUUACAUGACAAUCUUUUUCAGCCAGAGCAGAGAAGGCCAGGUGAUCCUGAGCAGGAAAUGUAUGUUCUAAUUUGGGACAACAUGAGUUUCUAUCAGGCUGCUCAGGUCCGUAACUUGUUCCAUGACCAUCCCAGGUUUACGAUUCUCUAUCUCCCACCAUAUUCCCCAUUUCUCAACCCCACUGAGGAGUUUUCAGCAUGGCCGUGGAAGGUGUAUGAUCACAAACCCCGUAAACGUGUGUUGACAUUCCAGCAGAGUCCUUUCAGGGGUGAAUGUGUCAUGGCAGGAGAUAUUUCCCUGCUGUCUGGCCAAGGAGAAUAUCACCUGUGAUGUUGAUGGAAAUCUGUGGCUGGACCAAAACAACACACAUGACUGAUUUUGUUUUCUCAAUGGAGUAUUUGUUUCUUGACUUAUGAUUUAGAUUUGACAGUUUUUUUUAAUCUCUUCCAUUCAAUUGAUGGAACAUACAGUACAGUAGUAUAAAUAGGACUAUUUUUCUUCCUUUGCAUAUGCAAAAUAUAUUUACUGUAUAAUUGCCUUUUUACUGGAUGUGUGCUUACAGCCUUCCCUGUAGCUCAGUUGGUAGAGCAUGGUGUGUGCAACGCCAGGGUUGUGGGUUCGAUUCCCAUGGGGGGCCAGCACAAAAAAGAAAUGUAUGCAUUCACUACUGUAAGUCGCUCUGGAUAAGAGCGUCUGCUAAAUGACUAAAAUGUAAGUAUACUGUUUGAUAUGUAAUGAGUCAUGUUGAAAU